UAUCUCUGUAGAGUCUGCAUAUCAAUAAGCGGAGGAAAAGAAACUAACUAGGAUUCCCUCAGUAACGGCGAGUGAAGCGGGAAGAGCUCAAAUUUGAAAUCUUCAAGGUUCUACCUUGACGAAUUGUAGUUUAGAGAAGUGUUUUCUGUUGGUGUUUUGGUAAAAGUUCUUUGGAAUAGGACAUCAUAGAGGGUGAGAAUCCCGUAUUUGACCAUUACUUCCAGCGUUGUGAUACACUUUCAAGGAGUCGGAUUGUUUGGGAAUGCAGUCCAAAAUGGGUGGUAAAUUUCAUCUAAAGCUAAAUAUUGGCGAGAGACCGGUAGCGAACAAGUACCGUGAGGGAAAGAUGAAAAGAACUUUGAAAAGAGAGUUAAACAGUACGUGAAAUUGUCAAAAGGGAAGCGUUUGACACCAGUGUUGUUUUCUCGAAAAUCAAUUAAAAAAGGCAGGAUUUUGUGUUGUAUUGACUUUAUCAGCUUUCUGCACUCUUUUCUUGUCUUUUUUAAUGCACUUUUCGUUUAACAAGUCAACAUCAAUUUCUUUUGUUGUAAAAGGGUCAUUGGAAGGUGGCUUUCUUUUCGGAGAAAGUGUUUAUAGCCUUUGGCCUCUGCAAUCGGAGAGAUUGAGGUCUGCAGCGUAGAUCCUUCGGGGUUAGAUACAUUUGUGCUAAGUUAUAGCCUUUCAUAGACAACUUGUUGACUAUGAUCAGUCAUGUAGCUUACUCGCUUAUGCUAUUUUACCUACGCUUAGGAUGUUGAAGAUGUAGCACAUCA
This 773-nucleotide ribosomal RNA is filed under the name uncultured Neocallimastigales. RNAcentral describes it as "partial large subunit ribosomal RNA". It matches the Rfam family "Eukaryotic large subunit ribosomal RNA", at positions 24 to 642 of the family's 3401-position model. The record is from RNAcentral. Lineage: Eukaryota; Fungi; Neocallimastigomycota; Neocallimastigomycetes; Neocallimastigales.